This 72-nucleotide transfer RNA is filed under the name Heterocephalus glaber (naked mole-rat). It matches the Rfam family "tRNA". Rfam says of the family: Transfer RNA (tRNA) molecules are approximately 80 nucleotides in length. Lineage: Eukaryota; Metazoa; Chordata; Mammalia; Rodentia; Bathyergidae. The record is from Rfam by way of RNAcentral.
GAGGGUAUGGCUCAGUGGUAGAGUACUUGCCUAGCAUGCAUGAAGCCCUGGGUUCAAUCCCCACUACCCUAC